CCUACGGGUGGCAGCAGUGAGGAAUAUUGGUCAAUGGCCGGAAGGCUGAACCAGCCAUGCCGCGUGAAGGUCAGUGCCCUAUGGGCGUUAAACUUCUUUUGUGCGGGAGCAAUAAUGGUCACGUGUGGCCAGACGAGAGUACCGUACGAAUAAGCAUCGGCUAACUCCGUUCCCGCAGCCGCGGUAAUACGGGGGAUGCAAGCGUUAUCCGUAUUUAUUGGGUUUAAAGGGUGCGUAGGCUGUGAGGUAAGUCAGCGGGGAAAUGCCCCCGCGCAACGGGGUGAAGUGCCAUUGAUACUGCCUUGCUGGAAUGCGGAUGACGUGGGAAGAAUGUGUGGUGUAGCGGUGAAAUGCAUAGAUAUCACGCAGAACACCGAUUGCGAAGGCAUCUCACGAAUCCGCGAUUGACGCUGAUGCACGAAAGCGUGGGUAUCAAACAGGAUUAGAUACCCGAGUAGUC
This 460-nucleotide ribosomal RNA is filed under the name uncultured bacterium. RNAcentral describes it as "partial 16S ribosomal RNA". It matches the Rfam family "Bacterial small subunit ribosomal RNA", at positions 338 to 795 of the family's 1533-position model. The record is from RNAcentral.